UACGGAGGGUGCAAGCGUUAUCCGGAUUUAUUGGGUUUAAAGGGUCCGUAGGCGGACCAUUAAGUCAGUGGUGAAAGCCCUUCGCUCAACGAAGGGACUGCCAUUGAAACUGAUGGUCUUGAGUAUAAGUGAGGUUGGCGGAAUGUGUGGUGUAGCGGUGAAAUGCUUAGAUAUCACACAGAACACCGAUUGCGAAGGCAGCUGGCCAACUUAUAACUGACGCUGAGGGACGAAAGUGUGGGGAUCAAACAGG
RNAcentral lists this ribosomal RNA (253 nucleotides) under uncultured bacterium. RNAcentral's name for it is "partial 16S ribosomal RNA". It matches the Rfam family "Bacterial small subunit ribosomal RNA", at positions 524 to 776 of the family's 1533-position model. The record is from RNAcentral.